GUAGGUGGCAAGCGUUGUCCGGAAUUAUUGGGCGUAAAGCGCGCGCAGGUGGUUCUUUAAGUCUGAUGUGAAAGCCCCCCGGGCUCAACCGGGGAGGGUCAUUGGAAACUGGGGAACUUGAGUGCAGGAGAGGAAAAGUGGAAUUCCACGUGUAGCGGUGAAAUGCGUAGAUAUGUGGAGGAACACCAGUGGCGAAGGCGACUUUCUGGCCUGUAACUGACACUGAGGCGCGAAAGCGUGGGGAGCAAACAGGAUUAGAUACCCUGGUAGUCCACGCCGUAAACGAUGAGUGCUAAGUGUUGGGGGGUUUCCGCCCCUCAGUGCUGCAGCUAACGCAUUAAGCACUCCGCCUGGGGAGUACGGUCGCAAAGACUG
This 375-nucleotide ribosomal RNA is filed under the name uncultured organism. RNAcentral's name for it is "partial 16S ribosomal RNA". It matches the Rfam family "Bacterial small subunit ribosomal RNA", at positions 527 to 896 of the family's 1533-position model. The record is from RNAcentral.